CGCUGUUAUCCCUAAGGUAAUUUAGUCUUAUAAUCAUUAAAAAUGGAUCAAAAACUUGUAAAUAAAUAUAAAAAAAAAUAAAAAGAGUUAUAUUAAUCUUCCCAUCACCCCAACAAAAUUUAAAUAAUAUUAAAAUUAUUACCCCACAAAAAAUAAAAAAUUAAAUUAAACUCUAUAGGGUCUUCUCGUCCCAAAAAAUUAUUUAGGCAUUUUAACCUAAAAUUUAAAUUCAACAAAAUAAAAAUUUAAGAAAGUAUAUACCUCGUCAAACCAUUCAUUCCAGCAUUCAAUUAAAAAACUAAUGAUUAUGCUACCUUUGCACAGUCAAAAUACUGCGGCCAUUUAAAAUCAGUGGGCAGGCAAUACUUCAAAUAAAUUACAAGAAGAGAUGUUUUUGUUAAACAGGGG
Molecule: ribosomal RNA, 408 nt
Filed under: Cryptocercus darwini
Lineage: Eukaryota; Metazoa; Arthropoda; Insecta; Blattodea; Cryptocercidae
Description: partial 16S ribosomal RNA
Source: RNAcentral